UUUUACACAUUCUCUGAAACAGUGUAAAUNCGUAAGUMUUAUAUGNUGCACCCAGACAGGCUGCUCCCCUGCAUGAACANCUUAAACNAWUCAGACACCAUNCUUUAAUCAUAGCCCWCACCCAKGGAUCACAGAAASCKUAAGUWGYCGGUAUGAUAUGUUAGUAUUCUGCCAUUGGGUAGUUUCAUANUUUCUUGUAAUUGUGCUGUUUGAGUGAAGCGUGUUCUUUUUAUGAAAUGUUUUUGUUACUUUAUUGUGUUUUUUGUGAGCAUUUAGUGUUUGCUGNUCCUGCUGAGUGCUGCUUUCCCUUUCCGGUUUGUUUGCUGUUCCUGCUGAGUGCUGCUUUCCCUUUCCGGUUUGUUUGCUGUUCCUGCUGAGUGUUGUUUUCCCUUUCCGGUUUGUUUGCUGUUCCUGCUGAGUGCUGGUUUCCCUGUCCGGUUUGUUUGCUGUUCCUGCUGAGUGCUGCUUUCCCUGUCCGGUUUGUUUGCUGUUCCUGCUGAGUGUUGCUUUCCCUGUCCGGUUUGUUUGCUGUUCCUGCUGAGUGCUGCUUUCCCUGUCCGGUUUGUUUGCU
RNAcentral lists this small RNA (571 nucleotides) under Spisula solidissima (Atlantic surf clam). RNAcentral's name for it is "cnRNA110". The record is from RNAcentral. Lineage: Eukaryota; Metazoa; Mollusca; Bivalvia; Venerida; Mactridae.